This 308-nucleotide unclassified non-coding RNA is filed under the name Hevea brasiliensis (rubber tree). The record is from RNAcentral. Lineage: Eukaryota; Viridiplantae; Streptophyta; Magnoliopsida; Malpighiales; Euphorbiaceae.
UGUCAAUGGUGUCUGAACUUUCGACUUCCAAUGUGAUUGUCUUCCCCGUUAAUGUCUUCACGAAAAUCUGCAUUCCACCACGCAAUCGAAGCACCAAAUGCAACGUCGAUUCCUUUUGAAUGUUAUAAUCUGCUAGAGUCCUGCCGUCUUCAAGCUGCUUACCAGCAAAAAUCAACCUCUGUUGGUCAGGUGGAAUGCCCUCCUUAUCUUGGAUCUUAGCUUUCACAUUAUCAAUUGUAUCUGAGCUCUCCACUUCCAAGGUGAUUGUUUUGCCAGUCAAGGUUUUCACAAAAAUCUGCAUACCCCCA